AGUGAACGCUGGCGGUAUGCCUAACACAUGCAAGUCGAACGGCAGCACAGGAAGGCUUGCUCUCUAGGUUUCGAGUGGCGGACGUGUGAGGCAUACAUCUGAAUCUGCCCAGUCGUUGGGGAUAACGUAGGGAAACUUACGCUAAUACCGCAUACGACCUUAGGGUGAAAGAUGGGUAUCGCAAGACCUCUCUCGAUUGGAUGAGCCGAUGUCGGAUUAGCUAGUUAGCGGGGUAAUGGCUAACCAAGGCGACGAUCCGUAGCUGGUCUGAGAGGAUGAUCGGCCACACUGGAACUGAGACACGGUCCAGACUCCUACGGGAGGCAGCAGUGGGGAAUAUUGGACAAUGGGCGCAAGCCUGAUCCAGCCAUACCGCGUGGGUGAUGAAGGCCUUCGGGUCGUAAAGCCCUUUUGUUGGGAAAGAAAAAAUUCAGGAUAAUCCCCUGGGAGCAUGACGGUACCUAAACAAUAAGCCCCGGCUAACUUCGUG
RNAcentral lists this ribosomal RNA (490 nucleotides) under uncultured bacterium. RNAcentral's name for it is "partial 16S ribosomal RNA". It matches the Rfam family "Bacterial small subunit ribosomal RNA", at positions 29 to 507 of the family's 1533-position model. The record is from RNAcentral.